UUAGGAUUCUUUUAAGAAACUCAUAAGGUUCCCCCAAUGGACUUGCUCUUACACACCUGAUUUUUUUAGAUACAACUACAUUAAUGUUUGAUUAAGUUGUGUGACUCACCAUAUACUCAUCUUUUUUCUUUUUCUUUUUUUGGCUAAAACCAUAGAAAUAUAUAUGUUGGUGAAUGAUUUGUGUGACCUCUGAGUGAACCAGCUAGGGCUAGGGCUGUUUUUAUUUAGGUCUAAGAAACCGUAUAGAGGAAACCUUGUUAUUCCGUUCCUCUAGCGGAAAUACAUGGAGACGACUAAGAAUAGAGUAGGACGAUAGAAUCUUGAGACAGGAGGCAAACAGUGGAGAGCUACUUAUCUCUUAUGAUUUUGGUAUGGGAGCUAGGUU
This is a long non-coding RNA of Arabidopsis thaliana (thale cress), 385 nucleotides long. RefSeq annotates it as other RNA. NCBI's taxonomy places the organism in Eukaryota, Viridiplantae, Streptophyta, Magnoliopsida, Brassicales, Brassicaceae. The transcript has a single exon. The record is from RefSeq.